UGUUUACCAAACCCCACACCUGAGGAUCUGCUGCCCUGAAAGGAAGCUCCAGACCCCCUCCAGGGGAGAGUGAGCUGGCUUCGAGGGCACAAGGACUCCUCCUUCAGGCCUACGUGACUUGAGGCAAAGUCCUCGGGGCAAUCGACCUCCACUAUACAAUGGAGGACAGAGCGUCACAGCCCUCACGGUGAUCCUGCAUUGGGGUCGCAGCAGGUCCCAGCAGGCUUCCCAGGCUGACCCUGAGCUAUGGCGGCGGGUCGUGGCCCAGCCUACUCUCAGAAGCCCACUGGUGAGAAGUCAUCAGCCAACCAUAUUGGACAAGGACCUGGUCAGAGACCCAUCUCAGCUCCCGUCCCCCAAAAAACAAGGAUGAGGAUGGCC
Molecule: long non-coding RNA, 381 nt
Organism: Eptesicus fuscus (big brown bat)
Lineage: Eukaryota; Metazoa; Chordata; Mammalia; Chiroptera; Vespertilionidae
Exons: 2
Source: RefSeq, a predicted model, not a curated record